CCUACGGGUGGCAGCAGUGAGGAAUAUUGGUCAAUGGGCGGAAGCCUGAACCAGCCAAGUAGCGUGCAGUAUUCCGUCCCUACUUUUUUUAACCUGCUUUUAUACGGGAAUAACGCGCCUUACGUGUAGGGCUUUGCAUGUACCGGAUGAAUAAGGACCGGCUAAUUCCGUGCCAGCAGCCGCGGUACUACGGAAGGUCCGGGCGUGAUCCGGAUUUGUUGGGUUUAAAGGGAACGUAGGCCGCAUGUCAAGCGUGCUGUGAAAUGUCCGGGCUUAACCCGGGCCUUGCAGCGCGAACUGGCGUGCUUGAGUCCGCGGAAAGCAGGCGGAAUUCGUCGUGUAGCGGUGAAAUGCUUAGAUAUGACGAAGAACCCCGAUUGCGAAGGCAGCUUGCUGCAGCGGAACUGACGCUGAUGCUCGAAAGCGCGGGUAUCGAACAGGAUUAGAUACCCGGGUAGUC
This 460-nucleotide ribosomal RNA is filed under the name uncultured bacterium. RNAcentral describes it as "partial 16S ribosomal RNA". It matches the Rfam family "Bacterial small subunit ribosomal RNA", at positions 338 to 795 of the family's 1533-position model. The record is from RNAcentral.